This 1419-nucleotide ribosomal RNA is filed under the name metagenome. Its description in RNAcentral is "bacterial SSU rRNA". It matches the Rfam family "Bacterial small subunit ribosomal RNA". The record is from RNAcentral.
AGAGUUUGAUCCUGGCUCAGGUUGAACGCUGGCGGUGCGCCUAAUACAUGCAAGUCGAGCGAGAAAUAUUCUAAGUUUACUUAUAAUAUGGAAAGCGGCGGACGAGUGAGUAACACGUAAGAACCCACCCUGUACUCAGGAACAACUCAUCGAAAGAUGAGCUAAUACCGGAUAGUCUCGAAAGAGUAAAGCUUUUGCGGUACGGGAGGGGCUUGCGGCCUAUCAGCUUGUUGGUAAGGUAAAAGCUUACCAAGGCUAUGACGGGUAGCUGGUGUGAGAGCAUGACCAGCCACGAUGGGACUGAGACACGGCCCAUACUCCUACGGGAGGCAGCAGUAAGGAAUCUUCCGCAAUGGGCGAAAGCCUGACGGAGCGACACCGCGUGGAGGACGAAGGUCCAUGGAUUGUAAACUCCUUUUCUACCGGAAGAAGAUCUGACGGUACGGUAGGAAUAAGCCCCGGCUAAUUACGUGCCAGCAGCCGCGGUAAUACGUAAGGGGCAAGCGUUAACCGGAAUCAUUGGGCGUAAAGCGUCCGCAGGUGGUUGCAUAAGUCUGUUAUUAAAUAUCGGAGCUUAACUUCGAUGCCGCCGAAACUGUGUAGCUAGAGGAUAGUAGAGGUAUGUGGAAUUCUACAAGUAGGGGUAAAAUCCGUAGAUAUGUAGAGGAACACCAAAAGCGAAGGCAGCAUACUGGACUAUUCCUGACACUCAGGGACGAAAGCGUGGGGAGCGAAACGGAUUAGAUACCCGUGUAGUCCACGCCGUAAACGAUGCAUGCUAGACGUUGGGACUCUCGACUUAGUCUCAGUGUCCAAGGUAACCCGUUAAGCAUGCCGCCUGUGUACUACGAUCGCAAGAUUAAAACAUAAAGGAAUAGACGGGGACCCACACAAGCGGUGGAACGCGGGGUUUAAUUCGUUAAUAAGCGAGUAACCUUACCAAGACUUGACAUCCCGGUCGUACUUCAUGGAAACAUGGAGGUCAAUUCGGUUGGACCGGUGACAGGCGCUGCAUGGUUGUCGUCAGCUCGUGCCUUGAGGUGUUCGGUUAAGUCCGUAAACGAGCGCAACCCUCAUCGUAUGUUGUAUUUUCAUAUGAGACUGCCCAUCAUAAAUGGGAGGAAGGUGAGGAUGACGUCAAAUCAGCAUGGCCCUUAUGUCUUGGGCUACACCCACGUUACAAUGGCGAUUACAAACCGAAGCAAAACAGCAAUGUCGAGCAAAUCGGAGAAAAGUCGUCUCAGUUCGGAUUGAGGUCUGCAACUCGACCUCAUGAAGUUGGAAUCGCUAGUAACUGUAUAUCAGUCACGGUACAGUGAAUAUGUUCCUGGGUCUUGUACUCACCGCCCGUCAAGGCAUGGGAGUCAGGGGCACCCGAAGUCUCUUCUGAUUUAUUAGAGGGGCCUAAGGUGAAACUGG